GACGAACGCUGGCGGCGUGCCUAAUACAUGCAAGUUGAGCGCUGAAGGUUGGUACUUGUACCAACUGGAUGAGCAGCGAACGGGUGAGUAACGCGUGGGGAAUCUGCCUUUGAGCGGGGGACAACAUUUGGAAACGAAUGCUAAUACCGCAUAAAAACUUUAAACACAAGUUUUAAGUUUGAAAGAUGCAAUUGCAUCACUCAAAGAUGAUCCCGCGUUGUAUUAGCUAGUUGGUGAGGUAAAGGCUCACCAAGGCGAUGAUACAUAGCCGACCUGAGAGGGUGAUCGGCCACAUUGGGACUGAGACACGGCCCAAACUCCUACGGGAGGCAGCAGUAGGGAAUCUUCGGCAAGAGACGAAAGUCUGACCGAGCAACGCCGCGUGAGUGAAGAAGGUUGUCGGAUCGUAAAACUCUGUUGGUAGAGAAGGACGUUGGUGAGAGUGGAAAGCUCAUCAAGUGACGGUAACUACACAGAAAGGGACGGCUAACUACGUG
This 497-nucleotide ribosomal RNA is filed under the name uncultured bacterium. RNAcentral describes it as "partial 16S ribosomal RNA". It matches the Rfam family "Bacterial small subunit ribosomal RNA", at positions 28 to 507 of the family's 1533-position model. The record is from RNAcentral.